Molecule: ribosomal RNA, 200 nt
Filed under: uncultured organism
Description: partial small subunit ribosomal RNA
Rfam family: Bacterial small subunit ribosomal RNA
Source: RNAcentral
GUCAAGUCAGCAUGGCCCUUACGGCUAGGGCGACACACACGCUACAAUGGCGUCGACAAUGCGCAGCGACCUCGCAAGAGGAGGCGAAUCGCACAAACGGCGCCCCAGUUCAGAUUGAGGGCUGCAACCCGCCCCCAUGAAGGAGGAGUUGCUAGUAACCGCGUAUCAGCCAUGGCGCGGUGAAUACGUACCCGGGCCUU